AACCAACAGGGAUUGCCCUAGUAACGGCGAGUGAAGCGGCAACAGCUCAAAUUUGAAAUCUGGCUCUUUUAGAGUCCGAGUUGUAAUUUGCAGAGAGCGCUUUGGCGUUGGCAGCGGUCCAAGUUCCUUGGAACAGGACGUCACAGAGGGUGAGAAUCCCGUACGUGGUCGCUAACCUUCGCCGUGUAAAGCCUCUUCGACGAGUCGAGUUGUUUGGGAAUGCAGCUCUAAAUGGGAGGUAAAUUUCUUCUAAAGCUAAAUACUGGCCAGAGACCGAUAGCGCACAAGUAGAGUGAUCGAAAGAUGAAAAGCACUUUGGAAAGAGAGUCAAACAGCACGUGAAAUUGUUGAAAGGGAAGCGCUUGCAGCCAGACUUGCCCGCAGUUGCUCAUCCGAACUUUUGUUCGGUGCACUCUUCUGCGGGCAGGCCAGCAUCAGUUUGGGCGGUUGGAUAAAGGUCUCUGUCAUGUACCUCCUCUCGGGGAGGCCUUAUAGGGGAGACGACAUGCAACCAGCCUGGACUGAGGUCCGCGCAUCUGCUAGGAUGCUGGCGUAAUGGCUGUAAGCGGCCCGUCUUGAAACACGGACCAAGGAGUCUAACAUCUAUGCGAGUGUUUGGGUGUCAAGCCCGAGCGCGUAAUGAAAGUGAACGGAGGUGGGAACCCUUAAGGGUGCACCAUCGACCGAUCCUGAUGUCUUCGGAUGGAUUUGAGUAAGAGCAUGGCUGUUGGGACCCGAAAGAUGGUGAACUAUGCUUGAAUAGGGUGAAGCCAGAGGAAACUCUGGUGGAGGCUCGCAGCGGUUCUGACGUGCAAAUCGAUCGUCAAAUUUGGGCAUAGGGGCGAAAGACUAAUCGAA
RNAcentral lists this ribosomal RNA (858 nucleotides) under Coniothyrium glycines. Its description in RNAcentral is "partial large subunit ribosomal RNA". It matches the Rfam family "Eukaryotic large subunit ribosomal RNA", at positions 63 to 939 of the family's 3401-position model. The record is from RNAcentral. Lineage: Eukaryota; Fungi; Ascomycota; Dothideomycetes; Pleosporales; Coniothyriaceae.